ACUCCUACGGGAGGCAGCAGUGGGGAAUUUUGGACAAUGGGCGAAAGCCUGAUCCAGCAAUGCCGCGUGAGUGAAGAAGGCCUUCGGGUUGUAAAGCUCUUUUGUCAGGGAAGAAACGGUGAAAGCUAAUAUCUUUUGCUAAUGACGGUACCUGAAGAAUAAGCACCGGCUAACUACGUGCCAGCAGCCGCGGUAAUACGUAGGGUGCAAGCGUUAAUCGGAAUUACUGGGCGUAAAGCGUGCGCAGGCGGUUUUGUAAGUCUGAUGUGAAAUCCCCGGGCUCAACCUGGGAAUUGCAUUGGAGACUGCAAGGCUAGAAUCUGGCAGAGGGGGGUAGAAUUCCACGUGUAGCAGUGAAAUGCGUAGAUAUGUGGAGGAACACCGAUGGCGAAGGCAGCCCCCUGGGUCAAGAUUGACGCUCAUGCACGAAAGCGUGGGGAGCAAACAGGAUUAGAAACCCUGGUAGUCCCAUGAU
This 475-nucleotide ribosomal RNA is filed under the name uncultured organism. RNAcentral describes it as "partial 16S ribosomal RNA". It matches the Rfam family "Bacterial small subunit ribosomal RNA", at positions 335 to 801 of the family's 1533-position model. The record is from RNAcentral.